AGUGACUCCAUUAAGGACCAGUGAGAGGAAGGACUGCCUGGAACAGUGGGUCCUGAAAGGCUUUUGACACCCUGGAAGGGGAGGACUACUGUGACCUGGCCAGAGGGCCAAGCCACGAGGCAACAGCACUUGAGUCCCAAGAAACCAAGACACAGAGAGAGAUGGAGUACAACCACAGGAAGGGGGUGUUGGCCUGGCAGAGCUAAUCCCCAGACAUGCCCAGAAGGAGGCAAUCCAGUGCUCUGUGCGAGAUUAAUGGAGAUGAGGAGGAGAAAUUAUGGGGAAGCAUUGCUCUCCCAGGCCAGGGCAAGUAGAGGGAGCCUGCUCUCUGCUUUUGGAAGAGGAGGGACCAUGUCAACAGGCUUACCAAGAUAAGGAUAACACCACAUGAAAGUGGAUGAACUAUGACCUUGAGCUACACGGCACUUCUAAAAACUACUUAAAGCCAUCUUCAUUUUGGAGCUUUGGAGAAAAUUGUUCCUUGGACGAUCCAACUUUCAGUUCUGUGUUUAGAUGUUGAGUACAUGACAUAUCUGGGUCACUAGAAGAAUGAUGACAGCUAAAAACGAUGCAGCUCUAAU
Molecule: long non-coding RNA, 581 nt
Organism: Mauremys reevesii (Reeves's turtle)
Lineage: Eukaryota; Metazoa; Chordata; Testudines; Geoemydidae
Exons: 4
Source: RefSeq, a predicted model, not a curated record